Molecule: long non-coding RNA, 1851 nt
Filed under: Triticum aestivum (bread wheat)
Lineage: Eukaryota; Viridiplantae; Streptophyta; Magnoliopsida; Poales; Poaceae
Description: long non-coding RNA (TAES_LNC000331)
Source: RNAcentral
AUGGCUAAGUGGUUAAUACCUUUCCUUUUAAAAAAAUAUGACAAUCUCCAGCAGGGCAAUCACUAAAGUUUGGCAGCAAAGAAAGAUUUUAGAAUCCUACAGUCAGCCCCUCUUUUCCUCUCUGUGAGCAGACAGUGUAAGUUCGAUACUUUGGAGAUAUUCACUCAACAAAAGAAACUAUAAAAUAAGAUAAUCUACAACAUAUUGAGGCAACAAACAAAUAUUCCUGAACUCAAUAGUCUAGAAAAUAUGAUUGAAUGAUGAUGCCAAGAAGACAACAACAGAUGCAGAAGAAUUCUCACCAACAAGUAAUUCAUAAAAUUGACCAGUAGUUAAUAUAGAUAAGGUCGGGAGAUGAACAUCUAUAAAAGAUCAACAGCGAAUUGUAGAAAUAGAGAUAGCUUCACAAUCACAGUGUGUUGAAGAAAUAUAAACAACAUGCAUGUUUACAUGCUAGUGGCUAUCCAAUCAACUAUCUUCUGUGUGCGCAUGUGUUGCUAGUCAAUCAGUCAAUACACUUAUUCGAGCUAUGCUGCUACCCAAGUUUGAUCUCUCUCAAGGGAAGCCAGCUUUGCUGUGUUUGCAAUUUGCCGUCGGCCAAAGACACGUGACAGCUGAAAUACUGGUUUCAGAAAUAUACAUAUGCUAGUGGUUUAUAUGUCUCGAUCAAAGAUCAUCUGAGUGUUUGACAAUUUAACAUGACCCUUAUGUAAGAGGGACACAUGAUCCACCUAUUACUUCAUACUCCCUCCGUUCCAAAUUACUCGUCGUGGUUUUAGUUCAAAUUUGAAUUAAAACUACGACGAGUAAUUUAAAACAGAGGGAGUACAUGAUACAUGUUAGAUCUCUUCAUAACAAGUAGGCAUUUCAGGUACGAAAGUGCUCUGCACACGAUUGGCUCCAGGAUGAUUUCGCUUAACGGGAUUAGGAGCCACACAGAUUUAAAAAAAAACCCAGUUAAUCAUAUGGUCUACCUGACUUGUCAUCUGUGGAUCGUACGUCGAUACUCGUGUGCAUAGCAGUGCUCUUUCAGGUAAGACGAACAUGUUUUAGAACAUCCUGUGUGGAAUCUAAAAUAAACAAAUAAAUAAAGAGCAUUAAUUGUCUAACAGUCCUUAUCACUGUUAUGACUAUAAUAAGGAUUUUUUUCCAAUUCACACACGAAAAUACAUCGAUCCGGGGAUUCUCAAUGUCGAUUGUUUACCAUGGUUUUAAUCAACCUGCCAUCAAACCCACUGCAUAUAUUUGUGUCAGAUUACAGUAUGCUAAUGAACAUUUAUUCUCCACUUGAUUUAAACAAUCAUUCAUUCUUCAUUAAAAUUGCAAUAUGCACAUUUUUUUACAAUCAAUACCAUAUAUAUUAUAGAAGCAAAUAGUACAUGGUACAGAUACAUGAGCUGAAUAAAUCUAGACGUGAUCACCAGGGCAAAGAAUUUGUCAAGAAAAGAAGAGACGCACAAUCUACCAAAAAUUCUAUAACGUCAGAGCAAUAUGCACUACACACAUGGGUAUAAUACAAUGACAACGCAGGAGAGGACAGAGAUUGACGUACCUGUGAUGGUGUCCUCAAUGGAGCAAAGGGAUUCUUGAAUUCUGGGAUGUUGGCUUUCCACGCAUCCACGUACAUCUGCUACGCCUCAUGCAGGCGCCACUGCAUUCCCUUGGAGAGCCCCACCGCGGCCAACCAGAGAGGAGGCACGGCCGGGACAAGGCCCUGCAGCCGGGAGGACGCCGGCCAGCCAGGGGCAGGGGGGUAGCCAGGCGAGAUGGAGCGCAGGGGAGGGCGGGGGAGGGGGAGGGCGACGCGCCGCGCCAGGGCAGCACCGGUGACGACGACGGGGAGGGACUNNN